GUUUGAUCCAGACAUUUGUGGUCGUUUUAGUGACCCAUUUGGAGAUGCCCUAACAUAACAUAGCAGUCUAGUCACUCGUGCCGUAUUGUGUAGGUAACAGGCAGGUUACUAUCAAAUCGUUGAGUGAGCCCUCCUGGUGGUAAUUCAAAUCUGUGGAGAACGAGCACUUACCGUGGCAGUGAUUAAAAACCGACGUUUAGCGUUCCAGCAAUUCUUUUUCCAAACUAGAGUUAUUAGCCGAGAAAAAGACGUACAGAAGGCGUACCACAGCACCGCUGCUGUAGCAAAGCGACCAUACAACCACAUGCGGGAACCACCUAGGCCACCGAGGCGACGACGCACCGUGUCUUACCGGUCAUCGGACAUGCAUAUUCCAGGCCAAGCGGGAAGAGGGGAAAGAGGCGUCGCCGUCGACGACCUGGCGGGGGCAAGUCUCCGGCUCUAUCCACCAGACGGCACUGAACUUCCUUCCACCACCAGUAGUCUAAUCGGGACGGCAGGAGAGGAGGAAUUCAUGACAUGUAGUGACAUGCCCCAACUGGUGGCGCCUCCAUCGAUUGCUGCAGGCACAUCGCACAUGGGACACUUGCUCGUGAUUUUCCGGCUGCGUGCGUGGACGACUUCUCAUCUAUCUCCUGACCCGGCCGCGUCGCGCUGCCGACUGCGUUUAGUUAAACACACGCACCUUCCCCUAAUCCUCCAUCCACAGACGAGUACACAUGCUUCCUUCGUCUUCUUCGCGUGCUGGCGCUGGCGUAGCUCUUCGCUGUUAAACGCGGUAUCUGCUGGAUGAGCAAAUCCUCUCCGGGUUUAUCAUCCGUCACGCGCAUGAUCCUGCGCCGUCUCGCUUCGAACGUUCCUGUAACCAUUCUGAUAUCUCUCCUAUAACUACUUGCAGGCUGCGGCUGCGGCAGCCUCACUCAGUCAACAGCGUACAGCUACAGUUUGCUUCGUUCUUUGGUUUGGUCAUGGCCAGGUCAUGGCUGGCCGGCCUGCGGUCUCGGCUCGGCGGCGGCGCCAGGCAGGACGGGCUCGGCAUCCUGGCCUUCGAGGCGGCGGCCGCCAUGUCGCGCCUGGUCUCGCUCCACCUCUCGCUGUCCGACGCGGAGGUCAGGAGGCUCCGCGCCGACGUGCUGCGCGCCGAGGGCGUCGCGCGCCUCACGUCCACGGACCAGUCCCGCCUGCUCCGCCUCGCGUGCGCCGAGCUCAUGGCGGGCCUCGACCGCGCCGCAGACGACGCCGCGCGCCUCGGAGCGCGCUGCCGCGGGCUGCCGGACGCGCCGUUCCUGCACGACUUCGACCGCGUCUACGCCGACGCGAAGCGGGGGGCCGGCCUCGCGCGGCUGGACGCCACCGUCGGGUUCUCCAGAGGCGCCGGGAAGCGGUUCAAGAAGAUGGAGCGGCACGUGGCCGCCACGGCGAAGCUGUACGCGGAGAUGGACGCGCUCACCGAGCUGGAGGCGUCGGAGCGGCGGAUGGAGCAGUGGAAGCAGCACAGCGGGCCCAUCCCCGUGCAGUCCUCCAAGCGGCAGCCCGCGGACGAGCCAAGCGAGAAGCUCAUGGGCGAGCUCAGGUUGCAGCGGCAGAAGGUGCGGCGACUCACGGAGGGCUCGCUCUGGAGCGUCGCCGCCCACAAGGUGGCCAAGCUCAUGGCCAAGUCGGUGCUCGCCGUGCUCGCGCGCGUCUCCCUUGCCUUCGGCGCGUUAGUGCCGGGAUUGCCACCUCCGUUGACAGGCCGGGGAUGGGCGCUCGGCCACUCGUCUGGCCCCAUGCACCAGUCGACGGCGCCCGACGCGGCGAUCCGGCACUCGGCCCCGAUCUUCCGGCAAAAAGACACUGCCUCGACAUCGUCAGAGCCACUCAAGCCGCCUGCGACCACCGUCGGUGGGUCGGGGAUGGAACUGCGUUACGCGAACGUGAUCCUGUCCGCCGAGACGCUGCUCAAGGCGCUGAGGCCGGCGAUCCGCAACGAGGAGGCGCAUGACGGGAUGACGGAGCUGGCGAUGAGAGACGAGCUGUACAAGAUGCUGCCCGUGACCAUACGCGCAGCAGUGAAGGAGAAGCUGAGGGAGAGGUUGAGAGGAGGGCAGGUGGACGAGGAGGCCGCCGCGACAGCGAUGGACGCCGUGGACGGAGUGCUGCGGUGGUUGGGGCCAAUGGCGCAUGACACGCUGCGGUGGCAGGACGAGAGGAGCAUGGAGCGGAAGCAACGGUUCAGCAUGCAGCCGCGCGCGCCGAUGGUGCAGACGCUGCAUUUCGCGGACCGUCGGAAGGCGGACGCUGCUAUCGUCGAGGUGCUCGUUGGUCUCAGCUGUAUGUGCUGGUACGACGAUCAACGGCGGCGGCCGGCUGACUGGAACGAGUAGCUGGCCUGGUCAACGACGAUGCGCAGUUCAUCAUGUGUAAAUUUAUAGAUAUACGUGUAGGAAAGACAUUUGUAUACAUGCACUAGAUCAUUGAUGCCCGUCUAUUUUUCCAAUGAAAUGAUAGAAAUUUUAUAAAUAUAUAGUCAUAAAACAUAGUGGCACAAAAACAUUAAAGUUACAUUUGUAUAAAGUGCCUAUAUAUUGGACGACUAUAAAAGAUUAUAGUAGUGCAGUGGUGGGAGAGGAUUGAGUU
Molecule: ribosomal RNA, 2619 nt
Filed under: Triticum aestivum (bread wheat)
Lineage: Eukaryota; Viridiplantae; Streptophyta; Magnoliopsida; Poales; Poaceae
Description: partial small subunit ribosomal RNA
Source: RNAcentral